This is a non-coding RNA of Bos taurus (domestic cattle), 314 nucleotides long. Lineage: Eukaryota; Metazoa; Chordata; Mammalia; Artiodactyla; Bovidae. The record is from Rfam.
UAGUGGUCUGGCUGGAGGAAAUUUUGCUUAAUGAAUGCCUGUUAUAUGCUUGGCACUGCACUGGCUGGAAGGAACCUUUCUUCUCCUUCACAACCUCUUAUUCUGCAUGCCUCCUGAAGCUGAGUGCUCAGCGGAAUAGAUUGACUGUCCACACAGAGAAGACCAUUGUAGCCAAUGGUCUUCACGUACCUGCACUUUUGCUAGAGCCUGUAAACAAGUUCUACGGGGCAUACUUGCUCCUGUGAUGCCUUUCGAGGUGCAAUUAGGAGAGGCACACCCAGUGACUAUCACGAUCAAAGAUCUGGUAGUUUGUU